GUCUCUGUGGCACAAUUGGUUAGCGCGUUCGGCUGUUAACCGAAAGGAUGGUGGUUCAAGCGAAAGGAUGGUGGUUCCACCCAGGGACG
This 89-nucleotide transfer RNA is filed under the name Hippoglossus stenolepis (Pacific halibut). Its description in RNAcentral is "tRNA-Asn". It matches the Rfam family "tRNA". From Rfam's summary of the family: Transfer RNA (tRNA) molecules are approximately 80 nucleotides in length. Their secondary structure includes four short double-helical elements and three loops (D, anti-codon, and T loops). Lineage: Eukaryota; Metazoa; Chordata; Actinopteri; Pleuronectiformes; Pleuronectidae. The record is from RNAcentral.